UUGGGAGGAUCGUGGUGGGUUUCCUCUGGGUGGAGAUGGAAGAGAUCGAUCAGCUGAUUCUGCGAUUCGGAAGAAGCCAUUCUCUUCCUCUUCUUCUUAUUCGCCUUGUCAUCAUGCUUGAUUUGGGACUCUUCUGGGAGAGUUUUGUGGUUGAGUUGGAGCUUGAGGGAAAGAUACUUGGGCUUCUUAGUCUUGCUUCUGGG
This 203-nucleotide long non-coding RNA is filed under the name Linum usitatissimum (flax). Its description in RNAcentral is "long non-coding RNA (LUSI_LNC000035)". Lineage: Eukaryota; Viridiplantae; Streptophyta; Magnoliopsida; Malpighiales; Linaceae. The record is from RNAcentral.